UCCUCACCUGCGCCCUGCGCCGCCUGCGCCCAGUGCUGCAGCUUCGCUGUGGCUCCCCCACCGCCAACCGAGUAGGUUGCCCCGGUGUCCAACGUCAGGGAUGCACCGCGAGCCCUGGCCAGCGAGGCUCCUGCAGGGCAGCGUGGGGACCACAGCUUGGGGCCCGGGGGCCAGAGCUGGUGUGUGCCUGAGAGUGGGAGCUACUUUGGAAAUGCGGCCUAAGAGGUGGUUUGGCGUGUGGGGAGCCUCUGCCCGUGGCCCCACCCGGAAAGUAGGUUAGGCUCCCCCGGGGCUCAGAAGAUUACGACCCUCAAAGAAACAACAGACGCAUCCUACAUUAUGGCUCCGUCCGCCCCAAGCAUAUGCUAACUCUGCCAGGUUUUCUGGACUGGAAUCCUGCAUUGCUGGCCUGAGCAAGAAGGUAUAAACUCAGGUGGACUGGGCCAAGAAAUCAAAUGGAAUGUGAGAGGCUCCUCUGCACCGAGAGUUGCCCUAUCGUAGGCUGCAGUGUGGAAAAUGUCUCACAUAGAAGAAUCAGAAUGGCUUCCAGAAAAAUCAACCCAAACAGGAUGAAAAAUGAAAUGUACACAAUGAUUACAACUAUGCUAAAAUUUAUCUGUCAAUGGACCCACACUGGAAAUGAAUAAGCAAAAAUGACAAACUGUAUGAUAUGGUGGUAAUACUGGGGAUGAGUUUUCUUUUGUCCUCUAUGUUCUAAGCUUUCCGUGAUGUCAUUAUCCAGGGUGGGACAAAAGCAGGUUUACAGUUGUGAGUAUGAGAAGCAUAGCAUUUAUUCUUGUAUUAUUAUUUAUUAAUUAUUGUAUUAUUUUCCGUCGGCACAACUGUAAGCCUAUAUAGACUUAGAAAUGAAAUGUAUAUUGUUUCUUAGUGUAGAAUAUGUUUUUCUCUAAAUAUUUUUGUUAUGUAAGUCACUUAUAUUGAUUUUGUAGAAAAAUUUUAGAAACUAACAAUAACCAUGUUGCUUAAUAUCACAAAUAUUAUAAAUAUACUC
Long non-coding RNA from Myotis daubentonii (Daubenton's bat), 1012 nucleotides. RefSeq lists it as uncharacterized. The record is from RefSeq and is a predicted model, not a curated record. Lineage: Eukaryota; Metazoa; Chordata; Mammalia; Chiroptera; Vespertilionidae.